RNAcentral lists this ribosomal RNA (320 nucleotides) under uncultured Prevotella sp. RNAcentral describes it as "bacterial SSU rRNA". It matches the Rfam family "Bacterial small subunit ribosomal RNA", at positions 28 to 339 of the family's 1533-position model. Lineage: Bacteria; Pseudomonadati; Bacteroidota; Bacteroidia; Bacteroidales; Prevotellaceae. The record is from RNAcentral.
GAUGAACGCUAGCUACAGGCUUAACACAUGCAAGUCGAGGGGCAGCAUGGUCUUAGCUUGCUAAGGCCGAUGGCGACCGGCGCACGGGUGAGUAACGCGUAUCCAACCUUCCCCCUAGUAGGGGAUAGCCCGGCGAAAGUCGGAUUAAUACCCUAUGUUAUCCGUCGAUGACAUCAGAAGCGGAUCAAAGAUUGAUCGCUAGGGGAUGGGGAUGCGUCCGAUUAGGUAGUAGGCGGGGCAACGGCCCACCUAGCCUUCGAUCGGUAGGGGUUCUGAGAGGAAGGUCCCCCACAUUGGAACUGAGACACGGUCCAAACUCC